UAGUGAGUUUGGAUCCUGGCUCAGGAUGAACGCUGGCGGUCUGCUUAACACAUGCAAGUCGAACGGGCUCUUCGGAGCUAGUGGCGGACGGGUGAGUAACGCGUGAGAAUCUGCCUUUUGGAUCGGGACAACCACUGGAAACGGUGGCUAAGACCGGAUGUGCCGAAUAGGUGAAAUAUUUAUAGCCAGGGGAUGUGCUCGCGUCUGAUUAGCUAGUUGGAGAGGUAAAGGCUCACCAAGGCAUCGAUCAGUAGCUGGUCUGAGAGGACGAUCAGCCACACGUGGGACUGACACCACGGCCCAGACUCCGUACGGGAGCAGCAGUGGGGU
Molecule: ribosomal RNA, 330 nt
Filed under: uncultured bacterium
Lineage: Bacteria
Description: bacterial SSU rRNA
Rfam family: Bacterial small subunit ribosomal RNA
Source: RNAcentral